Molecule: ribosomal RNA, 439 nt
Filed under: uncultured bacterium
Lineage: Bacteria
Description: partial 16S ribosomal RNA
Rfam family: Bacterial small subunit ribosomal RNA
Source: RNAcentral
CUACGGGGGGCUGCAGUGAGGAAUAUUGCACAAUGGGGGGAACCCUGAUGCAGCAACGCCGCGUGGAGGAUGACGCAUUUCGGUGUGUAAACUCCUCUUAUAUGUCAAGAAAAUGACGGUAGCAUAUGAAUAAGCACCGGCUAACUCCGUGCCAGCAGCCGCGGUAAUACGGAGGGUGCAAGCGUUACUCGGAAUCACUGGGCGUAAAGGACGCGUAGGCGGGUGGGAAAGUCAGGUGUGAAAUCCUACAGCUUAACUGUAGAACUGCACUUGAAACUUCUAAUCUAGAGUAUGGGAGGGGGAGAUGGAAUUAGUAGUGUAGGGGUAAAAUCCGUAGAUAUCACUAGGAAUACCUAAAGCGAAGGCGAUCUCCUGGAACAUUACUGACGCUAAGGCGUGAAAGCGUGGGGAGCAAACAGGAUUAGAUACCCUUGUAGUC